UCCGCCCUCUCUCCCUCUCUACUCUCUCCCUCCCCACCGCCGCCUCCCCUCCCGUUCACCCUCUCUGCUUGCCUUCGUCGCCCCUCCCCGCCGGCGCUCCUCCUGCUCUACGCCACCGCCGCUGGCUCCCGCAGGAUCCAGAUCUGGCACGGCGCAGGGCUCGGAGGGAGAGGAUGCGAUCUUGGCGGAUUCGCGACGGCCUAGCGGACCGGGAGACGCGCGGCGCCACCGCGCGGCCACUCGACGCGGCUGAUUCCUGCUUCGAUGCGCGGGCGGCGCUUGAGCGCGAGCUUUGCGUGGAGGGGCCAUAGAGGAGCCCCCCUCUUCCUAGGCCAGAGGCGCGGUGGCGGCGCAGCAGCCGGGGGCCUCUGGGAGCACGGGCUGCGGCUCGGAGUCGCUGUGGCUGCACCUCGGGAGGACCAGGCGCCGGGCGGGAUCCGGCACACCGGCGCCCUCGUGGAAGAUGGAGGAUGAGGGAGCCCCGGAGGAGGCUGGCGCCCCGUUUGCCACGGAUCUCGGCGUCAGCCUCGGCCUCGGCGCGGCAGCUGGGCGCCAGCCUCUGGAAGAUCCAUGACGUCGCGCGGGAGCGCCGGGCCAGGCCGCGGGGCGGGAGUGGCAUCGCUGCCGGUCGGGAGCACGGCGGCCGCAUGGAAUUCAACCAGGUGGAAAGCAGUGUGGACCUUCUGUUGGUGUGAUGCUACUACAACUUUGUUCCACCCUUCGCUUCAGAAAAAUAAUUGCAUGCUGGAAUUUAAAGCUAGCAAAUUGGGAAGGACUGAGUGUGUCCUACUGAUGUAUGUACUAGGUGCAGGCAAAAUCAAGGUCAGGGCCAGCGGCGAAAUUAAUAAAUCCUUAGGUGAAACACUAUUUGGAUUUCAAGUCUCAUCCUGCCAUGUAAAUGAGCUGAACCCCCUGACCAUAUUCUUGGCUGGUUCUGUCCCUAGGUAAAAUAACUGCAUUUAUUUGUCAAAUGAAACAAAGCGAUUGGAUAGUGUUAUGGAAGUUUAAAGGGACUUUUAAUCAAGCUGAUGCUUGUGUCUUGAGUUAUCCUGUCCCUUACUUUAUUUGCAAGCAGAUGUGCCUGUGAUUUGUUGCGUGUUUAUUUUAAUUGUAGUUCGGAAUAGUCCAGUUCGAGUGUGUAUUGGUCAAUGUUAUCCUAAACGAUAAACGGUAAACAGUUGGUCACCUACUGUUUAGCCCAUUAUUUGGGCAAAACGGGUGUUUAAACGGGAAAAACGGCCGUUUAAACGGUGAAAACAACCGAUUAAACGAAAACGGUGUGCCACUGUGUAGCGUUUAAACGGUGUUUAAACGGGCUAAACGACCGUUUAGGCAAACAAUUGUAUUGGUGGACUACAGUUUCACUUUGUCUUAACCUGGCGAUUAGCGCAGACAUUUCUUUCAGUGGCAUUUAAAGUCUGAAAGAUGAAAUUUGUGUUGUACCCUACCGCUCUUCCUUGAUCUUCCAAUCUUCUUGGGUUUGGGCUGGUAUCUAUGAUUUUAGAAUUAGUACUCAUGUUAGCCAUGGGGGGAAAUUAUAGCUGUGCGGCAACAGGGACAGUAUGGGGCAUGCCUUUUAAAUCUAGGAUAAUUGGAUAACUGCAAUUUGCAUGGGACAUCCCUUUUUUUAUCUGAUCUUGAUAUCAUGUAUGAACCUUACCAUGAUCUGCUUGUCCUCUAUGACUGUUGUACUAAUUCCACUUCUCAUCCUAUGCCUAGAGAUGUGUGACCGGUUGAUUAUGCUUGGAAACUCAGUGAGGGCUUAUGUGUGACAGGUUCAGGGACCUCUAUGAUCCACAUGAUAAAUCAAAAUUACUGCACAGUGACCUGGUGUUGAUUGAUGAAGAGUUCAAGGAUGCAUGAGCAGUGAAGCUCAUGUUGAUUUUGUCUCUACCAGUUGUGGCCGGCUUUUGUGUAGCCUUCGUCUCCAGCAACAAAAGUCUGAUGCAUGGGACUGUGUAGCUAUGACCUCCGCCUGCAAACUGUGUAGCAUGGUGAUUAGCUUUUGGUUUCAGUUAGUAUUCAAAGCUAGGUUAUUUGGUAGCUAUGCAUACUUGUUGCGUGUGGAUUUAUGGUGCUCGAAUGUACUGUUAUGUUGAUGAUUGAGAUGUUGGGCAGAUACCUGAUUCAACUGCUGAACAGACACCUGAUAGAUAUGAUAGUGAUGUGUUGUAAUAUUUAUGAUUCAAAUACCAGAUAGACACCUAUGUUAACGUGUUGAUGAUGUGCUUGUUACCGGA
Molecule: RNA transcript, 2240 nt
Organism: Panicum virgatum (switchgrass)
Lineage: Eukaryota; Viridiplantae; Streptophyta; Magnoliopsida; Poales; Poaceae
Exons: 3
Source: RefSeq, a predicted model, not a curated record